GGCAUGCGGCAGCUACCAUGCAGUCGAGCGGGCGAGGUUGCUUCGGUAACUGAGCUAGCGGCGGACGGGUGAGUAAUGCUUAGGAAUCUGCCUAUUAGUGGGGGACAACAUUCCGAAAGGAAUGCUAAUACCGCAUACGCCCUACGGGGGAAAGCAGGGGAUCUUCGGACCUUGCGCUAAUAGAUGAGCCUAAGUCAGAUUAGCUAGUUGGUGGGGUAAAGGCCUACCAAGGCGACGAUCUGUAGCGGGUCUGAGAGGAUGAUCCGCCACACUGGGACUGAGACACGGCCCAGACUCCUACGGGAGGCAGCAGUGGGGAAUAUUGGACAAUGGGCGGAAGCCUGAUCCAGCCAUGCCGCGUGUGUGAAGAAGGCCUUUUGGUUGUAAAGCACUUUAAGCGAGGAGGAGGCUACUUGGAUUAAUACUCUAGGAUAGUGGACGUUACUCGCAGAAUAAGCACCGGCUAACUCUGUGCCAGCAGCCGCGGUAAUACAGAGGGUGCGAGCGUUAAUCGGAUUUACUGGGCGUAAAGCGUGCGUAGGCGGCUUCUUAAGUCGGAUGUGAAAUCCCUGAGCUUAACUUAGGAAUUGCAUUCGAUACUGGGAAGCUAGAGUAUGGGAGAGGAUGGUAGAAUUCCAGGUGUAGCGGUGAAAUGCGUAGAGAUCUGGAGGAAUACCGAUGGCGAAGGCAGCCAUCUGGCCUAAUACUGACGCUGAGGUACGAAAGCAUGGGGAGCAAACAGGAUUAGAUACCCUGGUAGUCCAUGCCGUAAACGAUGUCUACUAGCCGUUGGGGCCUUUGAGGCUUUAGUGGCGCAGCUAACGCGAUAAGUAGACCGCCUGGGGGAGUACGGUCGCAAGACUAAAACUCAAAGGAAUUGACGGA
Molecule: ribosomal RNA, 885 nt
Filed under: uncultured bacterium
Lineage: Bacteria
Description: bacterial SSU rRNA
Rfam family: Bacterial small subunit ribosomal RNA
Source: RNAcentral